UACGGAGGGUGCAAGCAUUAAUCGGAAUUAUUGGGCGUAAAGGGCGCGUAGGCGGAAAUGUAAGUCAGAUGUGAAAUCCCGGGGCUCAACCCCGGAACAGCAUUUGAAACUGUAUUUCUAGAGGAUAGGAGGAGAAAAUGGAAUUCCACAAGUAGCGGUAAAAUGCGUAGAUAUGUGGAAGAACACCAGUGGCGAAGGCGGUUUUCUAUCUUAUACCUGACGCUGAGGCGCGAAAGCAAGGGGAUCAAAC
RNAcentral lists this ribosomal RNA (250 nucleotides) under uncultured bacterium. Its description in RNAcentral is "partial 16S ribosomal RNA". It matches the Rfam family "Bacterial small subunit ribosomal RNA", at positions 524 to 773 of the family's 1533-position model. The record is from RNAcentral.